Molecule: long non-coding RNA, 369 nt
Organism: Malania oleifera
Lineage: Eukaryota; Viridiplantae; Streptophyta; Magnoliopsida; Santalales; Ximeniaceae
Exons: 2
Source: RefSeq, a predicted model, not a curated record
CAAGUUUGGUCAAAGGUCAACCAAACUAAAAGUGAGGGCGUUCAUGUCUGCAGAGGUUAGAUGAGUUGAGCUAAAUGAACAAGGAUUCUCAAGUCUUGAUGAAGAUAAUAUUAUGGCAGCUAAGCGGGCGACUGUAUCUAAACAAAAUGGAGAAAUGGAGGUGAUCCAAGUAGGCGAGCAGACCAGGCUCGCAGAUAGAGGGGCUUUAGUAUUGCCCUAACAAUGAAGUGAGUAUUGUAGGAAUAUUUUUGUAUAACCCUAGCCAGUUGAGGGUGUUUUGGGAAAACUGAUAUAUAUGUGUAUUUUGAGGAUACAUUCUAGCACUCUGGUAUUGUAUAUAAUUAUAUAUGGAUAUGUUUAUUUGAUUUC